RNAcentral lists this transfer RNA (63 nucleotides) under Atractomorpha lata. RNAcentral describes it as "tRNA-Cys". Lineage: Eukaryota; Metazoa; Arthropoda; Insecta; Orthoptera; Pyrgomorphidae. RNAcentral also lists the same sequence under 2 other names. The record is from RNAcentral.
GGUUUUAUAUUCAAGUAUGAUUCUUGGCUGCAAUCCUAGAGGUGUAAUUAUUUACUAAGGCCU